This 574-nucleotide ribosomal RNA is filed under the name Chaetodon zanzibarensis. RNAcentral describes it as "partial 16S ribosomal RNA". It matches the Rfam family "Bacterial large subunit ribosomal RNA", at positions 1817 to 2597 of the family's 2925-position model. The record is from RNAcentral. Lineage: Eukaryota; Metazoa; Chordata; Actinopteri; Chaetodontiformes; Chaetodontidae.
CGCCUCUUGCAAAAUUAACGAAUAAGAGGUCCCGCCUGCCCUGUGACUAUAUGUUUAACGGCCGCGGUAUUUUGACCGUGCGAAGGUAGCGCAAUCACUUGUCUUUUAAAUGAGGACCUGUAUGAAUGGCAUAACGAGGGCCUAACUGUCUCCUUUUUCAGGUCGAUGAAAUUGAUCUUCCCGUGCAGAAGCGGAAAUAAUACCAUAAGACGAGAAGACCCUAUGGAGCUUUAGACAAAAGCAGGCCGUGUUAAGCACCCUCAAAUAAGAGACUAAACUUGAUGUUUACUGCCCUAAUGUCUUUGGUUGGGGUGACCGCGGCGAAACAAGCAACCCCCGUGUAGAAAGAGACCUCCAUCUCUCCAAAUCAAGAGCUCCCGCUCAAAUGAACAGAAUAUCUGACUAAACAAGAUCCGGCAACGCCGAUCAACGGACCGAGUUACCCUAGGGAUAACAGCGCAAUCCCCUUCUAGAGCCCAUAUCGACAAGGGGGUUUACGACCUCGAUGUUGGAUCAGGGCAUCCUAAUGGUGCAGCCGCUAUUAAGGGUUCGUUUGUUCAACGAUUAAAGUCCU